UUGAAUCUUUCCUGAUGGGAGAACAGGACAUAAAGCAGGAAACAUUUGAUGUUGCAGUGAACUCAAGAAACUGAUAAAUGAAUACAUAUAUAGAAAACAAGAAUGCAGUGAAAAAUAGUUUGCUAUUUAUAGAAGUUUUAUGAAAAGAAUAAGUAAAAAGUUAGACAGGAUAUACAUUUUAAACUCGGGGAAAAAAUACAAAUAAACUGUUAAGUUUUGAUGAAUGCUACAGUAUAUCAAAUUUAUGAAAAGCUUUAUGUGGGAUGGAUUCAAAAAAUAUUUAAAGUAGCACAUUUUUUAUUUAUUCACUUCGAUAAGUAUAUAUGUAUAUAUUACGCCCAAACAGCAAUGCUCAACAUGAUUUUGCUUCAUGGCCAUCGUGUGGGAAUCACAACAUAUUGUGGGCAACUCUACCAAAACCAAUAGGUGCUCCGAGCAUUUUGAAAUGAC
Molecule: long non-coding RNA, 450 nt
Filed under: Androctonus crassicauda
Lineage: Eukaryota; Metazoa; Arthropoda; Arachnida; Scorpiones; Buthidae
Source: RNAcentral